AAUGGCACUAGAUGAAUUCACGG
RNAcentral lists this microRNA (23 nucleotides) under Ascaris suum (pig roundworm). RNAcentral describes it as "asu-miR-228-5p". Its record names the gene asu-miR-228-5p. RNAcentral also lists the same sequence under 2 other names. The record is from miRBase by way of RNAcentral. Lineage: Eukaryota; Metazoa; Nematoda; Chromadorea; Rhabditida; Ascarididae.